CGCGUAGGCGGCCACCGCAAGUCGACUGUGAAAUCUCCGGGCUUAACCCGGAACGGUCAGCCGAUACUGCGGGGCUAGAGUGCAGAAGGGGCAACUGGAAUUCUCGGUGUAGCGGUGAAAUGCGUAGAUAUCGAGAGGAACACCUGCGGCGAAGGCGGGUUGCUGGGCUGACACUGACGCUGAUGUGCGAAAGCUAGGGGAGCGAACG
This 208-nucleotide ribosomal RNA is filed under the name uncultured bacterium. Its description in RNAcentral is "partial 16S ribosomal RNA". It matches the Rfam family "Bacterial small subunit ribosomal RNA", at positions 568 to 774 of the family's 1533-position model. The record is from RNAcentral.